Molecule: long non-coding RNA, 708 nt
Filed under: Numida meleagris (helmeted guineafowl)
Lineage: Eukaryota; Metazoa; Chordata; Aves; Galliformes; Numididae
Description: lncRNA (ENSNMEG00000005762.1)
Source: RNAcentral
UACAUGAUGUUAUGAUGUGGAAUACCGACAACAAAAAAAAAUCACAAAACCAUGACACACUGUUACUAACAGACUUGUCUGAGUGAGAGAAAAAAGAAAGUAUACAAGCAGUAAAAUAUAAAUAUGUGAUGUUCUUAAAUUACUGUUAACUGAUAAUAGAGUGGCUGCCAAUGAGAAGUAGAUUCAACAUUUGAGGCUGAAAUAUUGAAGCUGUUCAGCAGGAGUAGUAAAAGAAGUUAUUCAACAAAAUGUUAUAAUAGCGUUAUUUACCUUCUAUUUUUAGUUUGUUUGGGUACAAAUGGAUCAUGAUAUCAAAGCUUUGAAGCUUUGAUUCUCACUGAGGAACUAGCAAAAGAUCUGCCACAGUGGAGUAAAGUCUUUAGAGAGGCAACACAUCCGGAUUCUCAGGAAACAAGCAUUCAUUGGUUACUCAUGCUAUCUUCUCAAACACAGAUUUUGAAGGUUUAUCCAGAAUUAGCUGAGAGCCUUCAGAGAGGACCAGCAUACAGAGCAGCAACUCUUUAAAGAUAACUUUUUGAGAGCGCAAGAGCUCUCAGUCACCCAGUAGAGAAAAAAAAAAGACAAGGCAGGAAACUGCCAUGGCUUGACAAGGACCUGCUGGUCAAAAUGAGGGAUAAGAAAGACAAAUACAAGGACAUAUCACCCAGGAAGAAUACAAGGACGUUGUCCGGACAUGCAGAGAUGGGA